RNAcentral lists this ribosomal RNA (481 nucleotides) under uncultured bacterium. Its description in RNAcentral is "partial 16S ribosomal RNA". It matches the Rfam family "Bacterial small subunit ribosomal RNA", at positions 28 to 523 of the family's 1533-position model. The record is from RNAcentral.
GACGAACGCUGGCGGCGUGCUUAACACCUGCAAGUCGAACGGUAAGGCCCUUCGGGGUACACGAGUGGCGAACGGGUGAGUAACACGUUGGUGAUCUACCCUGCACUUCGGGAUAAGCCUGGGGAACUGGGUCUAAUACCGGCUCGGACCACUGCCUGCAUGGGUGGUGGUGGAAAGCUUUUGCGGUGUGGGAUGGGCCCGUGGCCUAUCAGCUUGUUGGUGAGGUGAUGGCCUACAAAGGCGGCGACGGGUAGCCGGCAUGGUGAGAGGGCGACCCGCCACACUGGGACUGAGAUACGGCCCAGACUCCUACGGGAGGCAGCAGUGGGGAAUAUUGCACAAUGGGCGCAAGCCUGAUGCAGCGACGCCGCGUGAGGGAUGACGGCCUUCGGGUUGUAAACCUCUUUCAGCACCGACGAAGCGCAAGUGACGGUAGGUGCAGAAGAAGGACCGGCCAACUACGUGCCAGCCGCCGCAGUAA